GUGUGUCUCUGGUCGAUCGAACAAAGGCAGGAGCAAAGGGGCAACCCUAGUUUCAUCACAUACAUCAAAUUCAGUAGAAAUUCCAAGGAAAACUAAUGCAUGAACUCAUAUUUUCGAACAUCUAACCCUGAAAUGGGCGUGAAGGAAGAACAAGUGCUAGGAAAAUGGAAAACGCACAAGAUCGAGGUAAAUCCUCAACUUAAUCGCUUCGGCGACUUGGAACGAGCACCCAUAUGAAUCUCGCCUAUAUGCACUUCCGCUACUUUUGUAACAAUGUUUAUGGUCAAAAAGUAUUUUUGUUGUAACUAGUUUGUUUAGUAGCUAGACUUUUGAAGUUUGACUUGUUAGAUCUUUUAAAAAAAUUUCUAGAUGUUGGUAGAUAUUUAAAAGUAAUGCUAUGGUUUUGUUAAGUCU
This 414-nucleotide long non-coding RNA is filed under the name Helianthus annuus (common sunflower). The record is from RNAcentral. Lineage: Eukaryota; Viridiplantae; Streptophyta; Magnoliopsida; Asterales; Asteraceae.